GAUGAACGCUGGCGGCGUGCUUAACACAUGCAAGUCGAACGGUAAGGCUCCUGCUUGCAGGGGUACUCGAGUGGCGAACGGGUGAGUAACACGUGGGUGAUCUGCCCUGCACUUCGGGAUAAGCCUGGGAAACUGGGUCUAAUACCGGAUAGGACGAUGGUUUGGAUGCCAUUGUGGAAAGUUUUUUCGGUGUGGGAUGAGCUCGCGGCCUAUCAGCUUGUUGGUGGGGUAAUGGCCUACCAAGGCGUCGACGGGUAGCCGGCCUGAGAGGGUGUACGGCCACAUUGGGACUGAGAUACGGCCCAGACUCCUACGGGAGGCAGCAGUGGGGAAUAUUGCACAAUGGGCGCAAGCCUGAUGCAGCGACGCCGCGUGGGGGAUGACGGCCUUCGGGUUGUAAACUCCUUUCGCUAGGGACGAAGCGCAAGUGACGGUACCUGGAGAAGAAGCACCGGCUAACUACGUG
Molecule: ribosomal RNA, 466 nt
Filed under: uncultured bacterium
Lineage: Bacteria
Description: partial 16S ribosomal RNA
Rfam family: Bacterial small subunit ribosomal RNA
Source: RNAcentral